RNAcentral lists this ribosomal RNA (492 nucleotides) under uncultured bacterium. RNAcentral's name for it is "partial 16S ribosomal RNA". It matches the Rfam family "Bacterial small subunit ribosomal RNA", at positions 29 to 507 of the family's 1533-position model. The record is from RNAcentral.
AGUGAACGCUGGCGGUAGGCCUAACACAUGCAAGUCGAACGGCAGCACAGUAAGAGCUUGCUCUUACGGGUGGCGAGUGGCGGGCGGGUGAGGAAUACAUCGGAAUCUACUUUUUCGUGGGGGAUAAUGUAGGGAAACUUACGCUACUACCGCAUACGACCUACGGGUGAAAGCAGGGGAUCUUCGGACCUUGCGCGAUUGAAUGAGCCGAUGUCGGAUUAGCUAGUUGGCGGGGUAAGGGCCCACCAAGGCGACGAUCCGUAGCUGGUCUGAGAGGAUGAUCAGCCACACUGGAACUGAGACACGGUCCAGACUCCUACGGGAGGCGGCAGUGGGGAAUAUUGGACAAUGGGCGCAAGCCUGAUCCAGCCAUACCGCGUGGGUGAAGAAGGCCUUCGGGUUGUAAAGCCCUUUUGUUGGGAAAGAAAAGCAGCAGGUUAAUACCUCGCUGUUCUGACGGUACCCAAAGAAUAAGCACCGGCUAACUUCGUG